AUUGCAUGCUCUUUUCGACCAGACUCGUCAUGCUGACCCAGUACACACCUCAUAGACCCCUCGAGGGAUGUAGAGUACAAAAUUAAUGACCGUCUCUCCAUAGGAAGCAUCAGAAUCAGAGGUUUCUGCAACUUAUUCUUUUAUCUUUCAAUGCCCCUUGGCAAUCAAUAUCCACCUGACCGUUUGCUCCCUUUUCAACAGUUUGAAUGGGUUCCCACGUGGCUGUCAGAUGAGAUAUGAACCGUGACAUGCAAUUCAAUCUAUCUAAGAAACCACGAACCUUUUUUCUGUUUUCGGUUCAGGCAUUUCUUGUAUUGCUUUUUUCCUUUUCUUUUCU
Molecule: long non-coding RNA, 337 nt
Filed under: Lathyrus oleraceus (garden pea)
Lineage: Eukaryota; Viridiplantae; Streptophyta; Magnoliopsida; Fabales; Fabaceae
Description: Pisum sativum (pea) long non-coding RNA (PSAT_LNC020869)
Source: RNAcentral